Molecule: ribosomal RNA, 423 nt
Filed under: uncultured bacterium
Lineage: Bacteria
Description: bacterial SSU rRNA
Rfam family: Bacterial small subunit ribosomal RNA
Source: RNAcentral
UGGGGGAUAUUGCGCAAUGGGGGCAACCCUGACGCAGCAACGCCGCGUGAAGGAUGAAGGUUUUCGGAUUGUAAACUUCUUUUAUUAAGGACGAAAUUUGACGGUACUUAAUGAAUAAGCUCCGGCUAACUACGUGCCAGCAGCCGCGGUAAUACGUAGGGAGCAAGCGUUGUCCGGAUUUACUGGGUGUAAAGGGUGCGUAGGCGGCUUUGCAAGUCAGAUGUGAAAUCUAUGGGCUCAACCCAUAAACUGCAUUUGAAACUGUAGAGCUUGAGUGAAGUAGAGGCAGGCGGAAUUCCCCGUGUAGCGGUGAAAUGACGUAGAGAUGGGAGGGAACAACCAGCUGGCGAAGGCAGGCCUGCUGGGCUUUGAAUCAGACGCUGAGGCACGAAAAGCGUGGGUAUCAAACAGGGAUUAGAUACC